AUUGAACGCUGGCGGCAGGCCUAACACAUGCAAGUCGAGCGGAUGAAGGGGCUUGCCCCUGGAUUCAGCGGCGGACGGGUGAGUAAUGCCUAGGAAAUUUCCUGGGUGUGGGGGAUAAAGGUCGGAAACGGGCGCUAAUUCCGGAUAAGGCCCGAGGGAGAAAGUGGGGGGAUUUUGGACCCUACGGCAAUCAGUGGACCUUGGUCGGAUUAGCUAGUUGGUGGGGUAAAGGCCUACCAAGGCGACGAUCCGUAACUGGUCUGAGAGGAUGAUCAGUCACACUGGAACUGAGACACGGUCCAGACUCCUACGGGAGGCAGCAGUGGGGAAUAUUGGACAAUGGGCGAAAGCCUGAUCCAGCCAUGCCGCGUGUGUGAAGAAGGUCUUCGGAUUGUAAAGCACUUUAAGUUGGGAGGAAGGGCAGUAAGUUAAUACCUUGCUGUUUUGACGUUACCAACAGAAUAAGCACCGGCUAACUUCGUG
This 483-nucleotide ribosomal RNA is filed under the name uncultured bacterium. RNAcentral's name for it is "partial 16S ribosomal RNA". It matches the Rfam family "Bacterial small subunit ribosomal RNA", at positions 30 to 507 of the family's 1533-position model. The record is from RNAcentral.